This 497-nucleotide ribosomal RNA is filed under the name uncultured bacterium. Its description in RNAcentral is "partial 16S ribosomal RNA". It matches the Rfam family "Bacterial small subunit ribosomal RNA", at positions 28 to 507 of the family's 1533-position model. The record is from RNAcentral.
GACGAACGCUGGCGGCGUGCCUAAUACAUGCAAGUUGAGCGAUGAAGAUUGGUGCUUGCACCAAUUUGAAGAGCAGCGCACGGGUGAGUAACGCGUGGGGAAUCUGCCUUUGAGCGGGGGACAACAUGUGGAAACGAAUGCUAAUACCGCAUAACAACUUUAAACAUAAGUUUUAAGUUUGAAAGAUGCAAUUGCAUCACUCAAAGAUGAUCCCUCGUUGUAUUAGCUAGGUGGUGAGGUAAAGGCUCACCAAGGCGAGGAUACAUAGCCGACCUGAGAGGGUGGUCGGCCAGACUGGGACUGAGACCCGCCCCAAACGCCUACGGGAGGCAGCAGGAGGGAAUCUUCGGGCAUGGACGAAAGACUGACCGAGCAACGCCGCGGGAGUGAAGAAGGUUUUCGGAUCGUAAAAGUCUGUUGGUAGAGAAGAACGUGGGUGAGAGUGGAACGCUCAUUAAGUGACGGUAACGACCCAGAAAGGGACGGCUAACUACGUG